This 224-nucleotide small RNA is filed under the name Arabidopsis thaliana (thale cress). RNAcentral's name for it is "ATSL242580". Lineage: Eukaryota; Viridiplantae; Streptophyta; Magnoliopsida; Brassicales; Brassicaceae. The record is from RNAcentral.
AAUCUAAUAGUUUCAUAUGAAAAUAAUUUCAAAAAUCUAUAAGUUCUUAGAACGAUUGAACAAGUAAAGAUAAUAUAAAAAACAUUAUAAAACAUCAAAGCUAAACAUAAGCUCACGCGUAACAUGGGUACUCACCUAAUAUACAUAAAAAAAACGUUACUAUCUCUUAAUUGGUCCAUUUUACUUAUUAAUAAGAAACUACUAUUACUCAACUUGAUUUUUUU